GAUGAACGCUGGCGGCGUGCUUAACACAUGCAAGUCGAACGAAGCAUUUAGGACAGAUUACUUCGGUUUGAAGUUCUUUAUGACUGAGUGGCGGACGGGUGAGUAACGCGUGGGUAACCUGCCUUGUACUGGGGGAUAGCAGCUGGAAACGGCUGGUAAUACCGCAUAAGCGCACAACGUUGCAUGACAUGGUGUGAAAAACUCCGGUGGUAUAAGAUGGACCCGCGUCUGAUUAGCUAGUUGGUGAGAUAACAGCCCACCAAGGCGACGAUCAGUAGCCGACCUGAGAGGGUGACCGGCCACAUUGGGACUGAGACACGGCCCAGACUCCUACGAGAGUCAGCAGUGGGGAAUAUUGCACAAUGGAGGAAACUCUGAUGCAGCGACGCCGCGUGAGUGAAGAAGUAAUUCGUUAUGUAAAGCUCUAUCAACAGGGAAGAUAGUGACGGUACCUGACUAGGAAGCGCCGGCUAAAUACGUG
This 481-nucleotide ribosomal RNA is filed under the name uncultured bacterium. Its description in RNAcentral is "partial 16S ribosomal RNA". It matches the Rfam family "Bacterial small subunit ribosomal RNA", at positions 28 to 507 of the family's 1533-position model. The record is from RNAcentral.